RNAcentral lists this ribosomal RNA (253 nucleotides) under uncultured bacterium. RNAcentral describes it as "partial 16S ribosomal RNA". It matches the Rfam family "Bacterial small subunit ribosomal RNA", at positions 524 to 776 of the family's 1533-position model. The record is from RNAcentral.
UACGUAGGGUGCAAGCGUUGUCCGGAAUUAUUGGGCGUAAAGGGCUCGUAGGCGGUCCAUCACGUCGGGAGUGAAAAGCUGGGGCUUAACCCCAGUCCUGCUUCCGAUACGGGUGGACUAGAGGUAGGCAGGGGAGAACGGAAUUCCUGGUGUAGCGGUGAAAUGCGCAGAUAUCAGGAGGAACACCGGUGGCGAAGGCGGCAUCCUGGACCAUAACUGACGCUGAGGCGCGAAAGCUAGGGGAGCAAACGGG